Molecule: long non-coding RNA, 7459 nt
Organism: Gambusia affinis (western mosquitofish)
Lineage: Eukaryota; Metazoa; Chordata; Actinopteri; Cyprinodontiformes; Poeciliidae
Exons: 4
Source: RefSeq, a predicted model, not a curated record
UUUCUGCAAGAUUCACAAACUGCAGAUAUUUUAGGAUAUGGGUUAGGGUAAGGGUAAAGAGCACAGGAAAUCUUACGUUUUUUUGAACAAUAACAAUAUUUGUUGUUAAUCUGUUGCUAAGAGAUGAGCACAUUUUCUAGUUACCCUGUGCCACAAAGUAAACACUGAUUGUUACUUGAAUAAAAGUUAAAAUCAGAAAAUUGUGCAUUAACAUUAGCACUAACAUUAGUAGACAGUGUCUUUUUUCUAAAAUAAGUUUUUUUUUGUUAUUAUUUAUUAACCAUGUUUAGCAUACUGACAGAGGAAUGUCAAUGUAAGACAACAUGUUAGUGAUGCCCCACAUGCCACUUGAAGCAUUCAUUAAUUUUAGCUUAUACUCUAAUUUUAACAUACUGAAUGGAGUAAAGCCCUUUUUGCACUUCAGCUUGGCCCCGUUCGGCCCAGUUCUAUUGGUCUUACAGCCCUGAUCAGUUCAAUUGGAGAAAUUUUAUGGUUAUUUACAUUUACCAUUAAUAUCUUUGGUGAAGAUUUUAAAUGGUAUAUUAAAAUACCAUUGUAAUAGACUGUAAUCCCAGUGCAGGGUAAAAAUAAAUUAUGACGGGAAUUUAUCGAUGCAUUAUAUUGAAAUGACAGACAAUGAGAAAGUCUAGUGCUCCUCUGACCCACAGAUCUGGUCUUUGUCCCGCCCCCGCAGCCAAUGAACCAAUCAAGACUCCAAACCAGCCCCGUCUGGCGGCCCGAUUGGAACAGCAGUUCUCUGGGUUCCAGGGAGCCAUGUGGCACCGGGCUGGAAGUGCUAAUGCAAAAACGAUCAGCCCUGCUUUUAAGCCAGACCGGUCUGGCUGUGCAGUGCAAAAGGGGCUUAAGUCCAUGUUACUCAACAUGCCUCUGACUCUCCACACGCUAUUGAGUACAUUAUAGCCUACUUUAGAAUUGAUGCUAAGUAUUAGCGUCAGAACGCUGGGUUGCAACCGACAGCCACACUUUGGUAUGCGCUGUUGAAAUUCUUUAGAAAAUUUCUAGUUUUUAUAUAGUACCUUCUGUGUGGAACGUGUUUUAACAAGAGCAGCGGCUUGUCACCCAGAGAGUCAGAGUCACACCAGAGCAAAACAUCAAGAGGUUCUUGUGUGAUGAAUAGACUGAUUUUUUAAUGAAGCGAUUAAACAUUGGCUGCUUUGAGAUCAGAAGGUCACUGGAUGCCUUUGAAUCAAAGACCAUACUUGUCGACUCUUUUGUAGAUGACCUCUGACCCUUCUCCACUGCUACUUGUUAAGUCGAUAACUUAACAAGUAUCUAUAUUUACACCACUGUACAUUAGUGUUGACUUUACUUAAAAGUAGGUUUGAUUGCUAAAAGCUAAUUGAACUGAACACAGUUCCCACAAUAAUCAAUGUAUUCGAUGACCAUAUAUAAUACAAAAUACCUGUAGGGUAAACCGUAUGCUCUGACUUUGUGACACCAAGAGCUUCCUAAAAUGUAGUAAUAUUGUAUAAAGUAUUAACAGCAUCCAUACCAGUAAUGACCAUACAUACUUUAGAACUUCAUGUAAAAAAUAAUUGUUUUCAUUAUAGAGAUUUGUUGCCCCAUACGUUAUAAAUAUGUCCAAUUAAGUUUCCCACUUUUUAUUUGUCAUAUUACAGAAAAGCAACAAUAGGUUCAAGGUUUUUAUACAGCUUUACGUAGUGAGUGUCAAUAAUUUUAUAAAUACACCUGGUUUGUAAGAACUGUAGCAAUUCUUGUUUUAGUGCCGCUUGUUAUUCUUUGCCACUGGUCUCAUCCCAUCCUGUUGGACUUCCAGUCCGCUGAGCCUUUUCCCUGAUCUGCAGCGAGCAGCUUGACAACCUUUUGCUCAUCUGGGGGAAAUCCCAUUAUAGGCUGUUAGAACAUGAGUAAUGGCAGCUGUACGGUUAACCGGUUCGGAUGGAAGUAGACUAAUGCUCAGCCAUCACGUAGCUUUUCUCGCAGACAGAUAUUCGGCCCGUGUUUGCUGCAGUUCUCCUCUGGUUUGUCUUUGAAGAGAAAUCAAGGAGUGUUUGCUCCGUCAAAUCUUCUCAUCACCCUGAAAAACAGUGAUCAGUUUUGACUGGCCAGUUUGUUGUUCUGAAAACACUGCUUAACCCUGGAGGCUUUCAGGUCAUGUUUUAUGGAUUUUUCUGCUCUGACUUAGUUUGGUUUGUUUAAACAAAUUGAUUAGGGAACCAAGGAGUUUUCAGUUCUUAACCAGGGAUUGUGCUGGAGGCACUUCUUAACUGAUGCUCUGAAAGAACAUUUUUGGUUUUCAACCACCCAAGACUCUAAUCAAAGCCACUUCACUAUGCAUGCCUCAUUUAUUUUUUAUUUUUUUGAUCCUUUCCCUGUUUUCAGUGAACGAUUAUGGAAACAAUUUAGCAAAACAACUAAUAUUACUCAUCCCAGUAUUUCUGCAAUAACUGCCUUUAAUAGCCACCAACUUAUUUUAGUAAAGGUGUUUUUAAACAUCCAGGUGUGUUUCACAAUCCUCAUAGGCUGACUUAAUCACACCAGGAGCUCCAAAACAGAGUGCCGUAACCUCACUGUUACAGCACUCUGACCCUUUUGCUGCUUGCCUUUGUUGUUAUCAGACACUGUCUGCUGGUCUUAUGUUGAAUCAGCAGUCCCAUGAUUAAUUAAGGGUUUUAUCUAUAUUUACCAAGAAAUUAAUUAAGCCAUCACAUGGUCAUUAUAUAUGAUAUUUGCAUUGAAGUUAUUGUAAUUGGUUGUAUGUAACAUUCCUCAUUUUAAAAAAAAAAUAGAAUUUUGGGUUUCCAUUACCUGUACACCAUAAUCAUCUAAAUGAAUGGGAUAACUGCUUAAAUCUGUUACUUAAUGUGAUUAAUUUAAAUUAUAAGUGAACUUUUCCAACUCAAGCAAGCAUAGUCUAAUAGUGGAGAUAAACCAUCUCCCUUGACUUACAGGAGAAGGCUAGAAAAAAAUAUACCAAUGCAAAAGCUUUGAGACAGGAUUUUUACUGAAACAAACAUGGAACAAGAACACAAAACAGGAAAUUAAAAAUAAUGCAAAAAAAAAAAAAAGGAAAAGGGAGUAACUGUGAAGUCGACAGCAGUUACUGUGAAGUGUUCUGUCAGGUAAAUAUAAAAUGUUAUUUAAUGUUACAAAUUAGAGCAUUGCUUUUAAGGAAAAUCUGUUUUCUCAGCUUGAUGUUAUUUUAAAUAGCUAUUGGUCUGUGUUAAAAUAAGAAUGUGAAGGCCUGAGGUCAACAGAAAGAGUCCAAACAUAAAAGUUAGCGUAAACGGAAGGAAGUGGUUGUCAAAGGUGUUUGAGCGGAAACUUACAGCCUUUAAAUCAAUCUCCCCCUCUGCCUUCCUGCUGUGUCUUUUUGUAGUUUGAUUCCUCUGAAACAAUUUGAUUAAAGUGGUUGGCUGACUUAAUUCAGAACGAAAGCUCGGCUACAUUUGCUUAUCAUUCUCUUUGAUGUCACUUCCCCGCCCAGCAACGCUCCUUCCUGGAGUCAUGCCUUUUUUUUCAUCAUCCUUUCAUUAUUUGAAAGUACGAGUAAAAAAAAAUAUAUACAAGAAAAACCUGCCACUAUCUCAUUACAUUCACAAUUACUCCCGUGGCUGUCAGAAAAAUAAGGCCUAAUCACAAUCAAAAACAUGGAAAAAUGUUAUUGUUUGAUCAGAUUUUGAUCUGCCAGCGCUUCGUAGUCGUUUUUAUAUGCUGGCUGAAAGACUUGAUUUCCUUCUUCCCUCUUCUGCUUUCAAAGGAGUCUUUCAUCUUUUAGUAUUUUUUGACAUAAUUCAAAAGUCAAUCUGACUGGUUGCACGGUGCAGCGUCGAGGAAGGUAAAGCACAUUAGAGGAAGAGAAAAGUCAUCAUUUACUACAAAAAAUAUCCAUCAGGAGGGAGUCAUUUAAUCCUGCAAUGAGUCAUGAAAGCUUCUUUAUCCAGGAAAAAAUAAGUGAAUAGUCACCAAAGGAAGCUGCUCUUGUUCAUACUGCUCAAAAGAUGAGUAAUUAGUCCCUCUUUAAUUGGCAUUAAGAUGAAAGUUGUAGAAUAAACUGACACAAGGAUAGAAAAAAAUAAAAUAAAAAACAACAGACGCUAUACAUAACAUUUAUUUAUUUUCAAGUUUUUUUUCUGGUUGUUUCUAUUUGCUCUUACCACACUGAAGUUCGCACUGCAUACCCUGCUAAAUAUUUGGUUCAUCCUGACUCCCUGCUGGAUUUUGGGGAAUUCUGGGCCUGCGUUGGUCUGCUAUUCUGGGGUCAAAGUUGUGCCUCUGUCUGGUCUGUGGAAAUUCUUUCCUACUGUUUGCUGAAAAUACGUUCAACUUGUUUUGGCACAUGUGCCUGGGAAAUGUCCCAAUAUCAAGAUGGCAGAUGGCAAGCUUGUUUUUUUUCUAAAAUGUGUAUGUUCUAGUCUGACCUUCUCAAAAGUUUCUCAUAUAUUGUUUAGAAAUGACAGAGUACUUCUUUUCUUCUUUUUGAUCCAAAUUUGGGUCAUGUUUAUGACCUGAGGUUGCAAUAGAGUUUUACAAAUUUCAGAGGACGUUUUCUAAAUCUACAAGUUAAGACCUUUGAGAAAAACAGCCAUAAGAUCUCCAUAGUGAAGGUACUUUAUGUUCCUAAUAACUAUGUGCCAUCGUUUAUCGUCAGGAUUCUUUGUUCUCUUGUACUAUUUUACAAAUAUAAACAAUGGACACACAAACUCGUCAAAUUGUUCCCCAGAUAAGGUUUCCAGUUCAAUUUUCGUGUCUACACACAUUUUCUUGUUUGUUGAUCUUGGUUGAAAGAGUUGAUGUGUCUGCUAAGAAAAUGAAAACAUUCCAUUCUGCUGGUUGUAGAAAAUUUAUUAUUUUUCUUUAAACACUGUCUAAAUCUAGCAGUGCAGAGCACACCGGCUGUAUUUUUGCACCCUUAAUCGCCACCCAGCUUUCUCCAUGACCUUUUGUGAUGUGAAAUCCAUAGACUAAAAUUUGUUUUAAACACUCUGAUAUUUGAGAGAAAAAAUUUGAACUGGACUCAAAAUUUUGGAGCAAAAUUGUAAAACUGCACUCAUGCAACAGUAAAUACCGUCCACAUUCAAUCAUUUUCACUCAGGUGUUGUAUUGUGUUUUCUAUUAUGCAUAUAUUAUAUCGGACUCUAUUAAAGGAAAGCAUAAUUAAGGGAGGUUCAGUUUAUCUUUGUCUAAAAUUGAAAAACACAUUUUGAAGCUGAAGAUUUUCCACGUUGAUGACAACCCCAGAUGAGGUUUACAGCAACUCCUGAGAUCUAUGUCAGAUUGUCGACUCUUUAAUCUGGAUAACUCAGUUAUCUGUGUGAGGUCCUCGCACUGAUCUGACAACAGCAACAACUACAGAAACUUCCAAAUGAAGGAGUUAGAAUGUUGCUGCUGCCUGUACUUAAUAAACCAUGAAACCAAACACAGUUUUUUGACACUAAUGACCCCGACUUCUCAGCUUUAAAGAUGUAUGCGUGUUGACAAUGACACAUAGCAGGGCUGAAUUAUUUACAUAUAUUACAUGCACAGAUACAUUAUUCAUUUACUGUGUGCAGGGAAAUAGGUUCAGCAGAGUAAUGAAUCCCAUUAAGUGGUAGUGUUGGUGAAGUCAGGGGGUUUUUUGGCCUCGUCACCUCGUUACCGAUCACCGCAAAUUGCUGCUUAAUUAUUCCUUGCCAUAGGGCCAAAUGUUCAUUUGCCACAACUAAUUAUGGCUACACUGCUGUAAUUCUUUCCAGCCAAACGGUCAGACACAACAGAGUGUGUAUGUGUGCCUACACAACCGAGAAUUACCUGGUGAAUGAGAAAGAUAUGUUCUGAAUUUCAAAGAAAUUAUGUUAUGAUUAAAAUUGUGCAGUUUGGAAGAGCACUUCACAUUUCUUCUUUGAUUUUCAGAAUGAUUAAAGUUUGAACUUACUUUUCUUAAAAUCAAAAAGGUUCCAUAAAACAGGAAACGACUGAAGCUUAUAUUCAGAUUUAGUGAGUAUAGUGAGUCAGAUUUGGUUAGCAAACUGUGUCUCCAAUAAUAAGGCGGUGUAACGGUGAUGUUUUUUUUCUAGAAAGUGGUUUUAUUUCCAGUACCAGUAGGAAUAUCAGAAGGUAUCACCACAUAAACAUAAACAACACAGUACAGUUGGGGAACCGCUCACUUUCGAGAGGACAUUCUACGCACUUAUAGGAUGUUUUAAAGUUAUCACCAGGUAAUUCAUUGGGUAACAUCUUAGUCACUGAUGUGUGUAUUCUGUCUUUUGUAGUAUUUACAGUACUCCUUCAGCAUAUAGUGUGCUUUUGGAAUACUUACAGAGUCAGGUACAGCAUAUUUUGUGUGUACUUUUGGAGUAAUUAUUACCGUAGUCAUGCAGUACUUCUGGGCUACACGGAAAGUGUUUUAGAAAUACUUAUUGGGACCAGAUUCUAUUAGGACUUGGAAUUUAGAAUUAUGGGAAAGUUUUAGAGUACAUUAUACUCUAACUGUAUUUGGGGCACCUUUGUGGUACUGAUGAUACAAGAACCUUUGGUACCAGGGAUUUAUCUGGUUACCAUAAAGAUGGUUACGGAGUUCUUUCAAGAAAUGCCCAGAAACAUUUCCAAAAGAAAAAAUAACAAACAAACAAAAACAUGUUAUUUUUUUUUUUUUUCUUUUUCUUGGAACUUUCAAAGUGUAACAAACUGAUCACUAAAAUUUCAAUAAGUAAACUCAAACUUACUUCUCUCACUUCAAUUUUUAGUGUGGUUUUAAAUUUAGAACCCAAAUGGUUUAAGUAUCCUGAAAUAGAUUUUAAAUGAUUUCAUAAAGAAAUUGUUAAGUUGAGAAAUAUGCCCUGUCUGGUAUUCAUAGUUAUGUAUUUCAGCAGUAAUGCAGUCAACACAUGAGGUCAUGUUUGUAAAAUAAAUCAAAGUACAAAUAAAUAAUAAAUACAUAAUUAUUUUGUUAAUACAUGUUUGCUUAUUAGUGUUCCUUCAGUCGUUACUGAAUUCUCAAUUUUUACAAACAAUUUGUUAAAUAAAAUUUCUUAAGCAUGUUUUUUGUAUUUUUUUCAGCUGAGGUGUUACAAAGUGUCUCCAUCCCUUGAUUUGUCAUUAUUCUCCUCCUUGUGACAAGGCUGAGAGUGUGCAGAACUGCAGGACAAGGCCAUUGUGAUUUCUAUACAGCUAACUUUAAGUGCAGUGUCCUCACCCCUUCAGUUCUCCUGUCCCGUCACCUUGGCAGCUUCUUUGAUUUGUUUCUGUCCUGAUUGCCGCCUCCUUGUGAAGAGUUUUUUUUCUGUGCAGCUCUUAAAGAAACUAUCAUCAAAGCAGCCAUGUCCAGCUGUGAAGACAAACAGCUGGAUUGUUAUCCGGCCAGAGAUCCAGGAAGCCAGAGCCUAAAUUUUCAUUGAUAUCAGGUGGGAAAAUUGUUUGUCAUUCUGCUUAUUUGGAAACUGGAUUCCUUCAUUUAUGAGCAAAUGGCCAUAGAUAAUAAAGCAACAACUUAAAUAGA